Alexandromys fortis (reed vole) is the source of this 2495-nucleotide long non-coding RNA. RefSeq lists it as uncharacterized. The record is from RefSeq and is a predicted model, not a curated record. NCBI's taxonomy places the organism in Eukaryota, Metazoa, Chordata, Mammalia, Rodentia, Cricetidae. The transcript is spliced from 3 exons.
UUUUCCCAUGCUGUGAUAAAACACCACAACCAAGGCAACUUAUGAAAGAAAGUGUUUAACUUGGGGGCUUACAGCACCAGCGGGGUGGGAGUCCAUGGCAUUCACGGUGGGGAGUGUGGCAGCAGGCAGGCAUGGUGGCCGAGCAGGAGCUAAGAGCCUGUUCUUGAUCUACAAGCACAAGGUAGAGAAAGUGGACUGGGAAUGGGAGGGCGUUUGAAAUCUUUGGUGGAGUUUUUGGGGUCGCUUAUGUACACUAUCAUAUCUUCUGCAAAUAAUGAAAGUUUAACUUCUUCCUUUCCAAUUCGAAUCCCCUUGAUCCCCUUAUGUUGUCUUAUUGCUAUUGCUAAAACUUCAAGCACUAUAUUGAAGAGGUAUGGAGAGAGUGGACAGCCUUGUCGUGUUCCUGAUUUUAGUGGGAUGGCUUUGAGUUUCUCUCCGUUUAGUUUGAUGUUAGCUGUCGGUUUGCUGUAAAUAGCUUUUAUUAUAUUUAGGUAUGACCCUUGUAUCCCUAAUCUCUCCAAGACUUUUAUCAUAAAGGGAUGUUGAAUUUUGUCAAAAGCUUUUUCAGCAUCUAAUGAAAUGAUCAUAUGGUUUUUUUCUUUCAGUUUAUUUAUAUGGUGGAUUACAUUAAUAGAUUUUCGUAUGUUGAACCAGCCCUGCAUCUCUGGGAUGAAGCCUAAUUGAUCAUAAUGGAUAAUUUUUCUAAUGUGUUCUUGGAUACGGUUUGCCAGUAUUUUGUUGAGGAGUUUUGCGUCGAUGUUCAUGAGUGAGAUUGGCAGGCGUUUGAAAUCUUACAGUCACCGCAGUGACAAACUUCUAAUCCUUCUCAUCAGUUCCUUCAUUUGGGAUCACGUAUCAAAUAUAUGAGCCUAUUGGGCCAUUCUCAUUCGAACUACGGCACCAGUCCUGGGCAUAUACCCAAAGGACUCCGUAUGCCACCACAAAGAUCCUCAUUUAUCUAUGUCCCCUACUGCUCUAGCCACAGGACCUAAGAUGGAGUCAUCCAAGAUGGUUAUCAACUAAUGAAUGAUACCAUCUGGCAAGGAAGAAAGCUUCCAGGGUCCAACCUCAGUGUCACAGAGCUGAACAGAGUCAGCACAGAUGCUUAUGUUGGGGCAAUAUCCCACAUAAGUCAAGAAUAUCCUAAGUUGGAAAUGCAUUUAAUUCAGUGAACCUUCCUGAACACACAGCUCAGCAACACCGAACUCUGUGGAGAAGUAAAAGCUUCCUAUGAUUCCUGUGAUUGCUUGGUUGACUGGAAGCUGCAGUGUGCAGCCUCUGCCUCCAGAGAGAGGGGGCUGGUGAGAUGUCCUAGCAGGUGAAGGCUGCCACACUUGGCAAUCUGAGUUGCAUCCCCAAGACCCACCUGGGGGAAGGAGAGAACAGACUCCCACAAGAGUACGAUGUCCUCUGAUCUCCACACGUGUGCCCUGGCACAUGCAUGCCCACCCUCCCAAAUAACUGCACAUUUUUCUUUGCAAGCCUGUGUUUUCUGAAGCCCUAUAACAAGCCGGUGAAUAUUUAUAAGGUAUCUAGCUUUCUUAACAAAGAAAAGUCCGAUGAAAGACAUAGUCAUAUUUAAAGGGACAGAAUGGCUUUGCACACCAGCAGUUUGGUCUUUGAAGAAGCUGGUGGAAUAGUUGCCUGGCAGGAAACGAUACACGAAAUGGUGUCUCCGAAAUUUCGAAAUGAGCCACCCCAACUCUUCCUUCUUGCCUGUUUCAAAACUAUGUGACAAAAUCAAGAGAAUUGGAAAUAAAUGGUCUUCCCAUACUCUCCCCGGCUAAUCCAGACCAGCUGGGAAAAAUCAUCUGACGGACAACGCAUCAAAAAUCAAGGCUAAAAAUCUGCCAGAGCUAUUCAUAGAAAAGCAGAUGUGGGAACCAGCCCAUGGUUUGUGUGUAGAGGGGUUACAGAUAAAAAUAGCGCCCCAAAGUUUUCAAAGGUGAUUUGCAACCCCCCAAGUAUAGAUGACCGCAACUGGAAAUAAGACGCCAAGGGUGAAGUUGAAAUGGCCACCUCUCUAGGGUCCCACAGGCUGAGACUCUUGCUUGAGAAAGAAGAGCUCCUGUCCUUCCCUCAACAGGCUGCACACAGCACGGCACGCUUCUUUUCUGACAAGUUCUUAAUAUUCUUAUCCUUCUUCUCUUCUGUCCGUUCAAGAAAAGACUGUAUGUUUCGAAAGCAUUCUAUUUUCUUUUCCCUCCCCCCUUGAAAGCCAAGUCCGGAAGACAAGAGAUAGGCUUGGCGUCAAAAUGAAAUAAAACAUGUUCUGAGUGCCCCCCCCCAUUUUUUUUUAUUGUAUCUUUACUUCUACACAUCAUUGGGUUGUGGCUUGCAGCUGCUGAAAUAGAAAAGUAUUCUGAACCUGUGCAACUCCAUCCCAGAUCCUAUACCACGGGAUUUACAAUCGGUCUCUGUUUGAGAAGGGAAGAAAGCGUGUGGGUGGGUGGAAGUGAUGUUGUUUAGCAGUGUCCACUUCUCAAGUUCUUUGC